This 253-nucleotide ribosomal RNA is filed under the name uncultured bacterium. RNAcentral's name for it is "partial 16S ribosomal RNA". It matches the Rfam family "Bacterial small subunit ribosomal RNA", at positions 524 to 776 of the family's 1533-position model. The record is from RNAcentral.
GACGUAGGGCGCGAGCGUUGUCCGGAUUUAUUGGGCGUAAAGAGCUCGUAGGCGGCUUGUUGCGUCGGCUGUGAAAACCCAUGGCUUAACCGUGGGCUUGCAGCCGAUACGGGCAGGCUAGAGUUCGGUAGGGGAGACUGGAAUUCCUGGUGUAGCGGUGAAAUGCGCAGAUAUCAGGAGGAGCACCGGUGGCGAAGGCGGGUCUCUGGGCCGAUAUUGACGCUGAGGAGCGAAAGCGUGGGGAGCGAACAGG